This is a long non-coding RNA of Gasterosteus aculeatus aculeatus (three-spined stickleback), 617 nucleotides long. The record is from Ensembl. NCBI's taxonomy places the organism in Eukaryota, Metazoa, Chordata, Actinopteri, Perciformes, Gasterosteidae.
GGUUUUUCGAGUCACAUUGUGUCUGGCGAGGUCGACACUUCCCUUUUCCUCCUGUCUGACUGCGUCCCCUGUGGAGGACAUCGUGACAGCCCUCUGAUUGUUGCUCAUCAGCAGCUCGUCUGCACGCCGCCUUCGUCAAAGCGCCGAGGCGAGGUUGGAGGAGGGAGUCCACGGCCGAGAGGAGCAGAGAUGCGAGAGGCGACCUGCCUGUGACCUCUCAGGUCUCUUUCAGCUCAUCUACUCUUCUCAGAGAGGAACCUUCCUAAAUUCUAUUCAGCUGGAGGGUGAAGACGCGAGCGGGUGAACUAAAUGCUGCAGCGUCACGUCACCUUCUGUCAGGAAAUGGCCGGUUUACGUGGCUUGAAGGACACGUGGUGGUAAGAAUAACUCACGUAGGGUAGCUGGCUGGCAGGAAUGUCCACAUGUUUCCAGGGUUCGAGCUCCGCUCCCCCCGGCUGUGUUUUGUGUGGAACCGGAUGUUCAGCUGAGGGGCAGCAGCUGACUCGAGUAGAGACUUAGCGCUGAUUGAUUGCACGUGUGUGUGUGUGUGUGUGUGUGUGACAGAGAACCACAGGGGAUCUAUUUGUUUUGGACAUGAGCGCUUCUCUCGAUGAACA